CCGGCUUACCAACCCGAUGCAAACUGCGAAUACCGGAGAAUGUUAUCACGGGAGACACACGGCGGGUGCUAACGUCCGUCGUGAAGAGGGAAACAACCCAGACCGCCAGCUAAGGUCCCAAAGUCAUGGUUAAGUGGGAAACGAUGUGGGAAGGCCCAGACAGCCAGGAUGUUGGCUUAGAAGCAGCCAUCAUUUAAAGAAAGCGUAAUAGCUCACUGGUCGAGUCGGCCUGCGCGGAAGAUGUAACGGGGCUAAACCAUGCACCGAAGCUGCGGCAGCGACACUGUGUGUUGUUGGGUAGGGGAGCGUUCUGUAAGCCUGUGAAGGUGUGUCGUGAGGCAUGCUGGAGGUAUCAGAAGUGCGAAUGCUGACAUAAGUAACGAUAAAGCGGGUGAAAAGCCCGCUCGCCGGAAGACCAAGGGUUCCUGUCCAACGUUAAUCGGGGCAGGGUGAGUCGACCCCUAAGGCGAGGCCGAAAGGCGUAGUCGAUGGGAAACGGGUUAAUAUUCCCGUACUUGGUGUUACUGCGAAGGGGGGACGGAGAAGGCUAUGUUGGCCGGGCGACGGUUGUCCCGGUUUAAGCGUGUAGGUGUGUGUUCCAGGUAAAUCCGGUUCACUUUAACACUGAGGCGUGACGACGAGGCACUACGGUGCUGAAGCAACAAAUGCCCUGCUUCCAGGAAAAGCCUCUAAGCAUCAGGUAACAUCAAAUCGUACCCCAAACCGACACAGGUGGUCAGGUAGAGAAUACCAAGGCGCUUGAGAGAACUCGGGUGAAGGAACUAGGCAAAAUGGUGCCGUAACUUCGGGAGAAGGCACGCUGACACGUAGGUGAAGUGAUUUACUCAUGGAGCUGAAGUCAGUCGAAGAUACCAGCUGGCUGCAACUGUUUAUUAAAAACACAGCACUGUGCAAACACGAAAGUGGACGUAUACGGUGUGACGCCUGCCCGGUGCCGGAAGGUUAAUUGAUGGGGUCAGCGCAAGCGAAGCUCCUGAUCGAAGCCCCGGUAAACGGCGGCCGUAACUAUAACGGUCCUAAGGUAGCGAAAUUCCUUGUCGGGUAAGUUCCGACCUGCACGAAUGGCGUAAUGAUGGCCAGGCUGUCUCCACCCGAGACUCAGUGAAAUUGAACUCGCUGUGAAGAUGCAGUGUACCCGCGGCAAGACGGAAAGACCCCGUGAACCUUUACUAUAGCUUGACACUGAACAUUGAGCCUUGAUGUGUAGGAUAGGUGGGAGGCUUUGAAGUGUGGACGCCAGUCUGCAUGGAGCCGACCUUGAAAUACCACCCUUUAAUGUUUGAUGUUCUAACGUGGACCCGUUACCCGGGUUGCGGACAGUGUCUGGUGGGUAGUUUGACUGGGGCGGUCUCCUCCUAAAGAGUAACGGAGGAGCACGAAGGUUGGCUAAUCCUGGUCGGACAUCAGGAGGUUAGUGCAAUGGCAUAAGCCAGCUUGACUGCGAGCGUGACGGCGCGAGCAGGUGCGAAAGCAGGUCAUAGUGAUCCGGUGGUUCUGAAUGGAAGGGCCAUCGCUCAACGGAUAAAAGGUACUCCGGGGAUAACAGGCUGAUACCGCCCAAGAGUUCAUAUCGACGGCGGUGUUUGGCACCUCGAUGUCGGCUCAUCACAUCCUGGGGCUGAAGUAGGUCCCAAGGGUAUGGCUGUUCGCCAUUUAAAGUGGUACGCGAGCUGGGUUUAGAACGUCGUGAGACAGUUCGGUCCCUAUCUGCCGUGGGCGCUGGAGAACUGAGGGGGGCUGCUCCUAGUACGAGAGGACCGGAGUGGACGCAUCACUGGUGUUCGGGUUGUCAUGCCAAUGGCACUGCCCGGUAGCUAAAUGCGGAAGAGAUAAGUGCUGAAAGCAUCUAAGCACGAAACUUGCCCCGAGAUGAGUUCUCCCUGAGACUUAGAGUCUCCUGAAGGAACGUUGAAGACGACGACGUUGAUAGGCCGGGUGUGUAAGCGCAGCGAUGCGUUGAGCUAACCGGUACUAAUGAACCGUGAGGCUUAACCUUACAACGCCGAAG
This 2029-nucleotide ribosomal RNA is filed under the name Salmonella enterica. RNAcentral's name for it is "partial 23S ribosomal RNA". It matches the Rfam family "Bacterial large subunit ribosomal RNA", at positions 931 to 2925 of the family's 2925-position model. The record is from RNAcentral. Lineage: Bacteria; Pseudomonadati; Pseudomonadota; Gammaproteobacteria; Enterobacterales; Enterobacteriaceae. RNAcentral also lists the same sequence under 1 other name.